This 241-nucleotide ribosomal RNA is filed under the name Priestia aryabhattai. RNAcentral describes it as "Bacillus aryabhattai partial 23S ribosomal RNA". It matches the Rfam family "Bacterial large subunit ribosomal RNA", at positions 744 to 981 of the family's 2925-position model. Lineage: Bacteria; Bacillati; Bacillota; Bacilli; Caryophanales; Bacillaceae. The record is from RNAcentral.
GGUGAAGUUCAGGUAACACUGAAUGGAGGCCCGAACCCACGCACGUUGAAAAGUGCGGGGAUGAGGUGUGGGUAGCGGAGAAAUUCCAAUCGAACCUGGAGAUAGCUGGUUCUCUCCGAAAUAGCUUUAGGGCUAGCCUCAUGUUGUAAGAGUCUUGGAGGUAGAGCACUGAUUGGACUAGGGGCCCCCAACGGGUUACCGAAUUCAGUCAAACUCCGAAUGCCAAAGACUUAUCCAUGGG